CCUACGGGUGGCAGCAGUGAGGAAUAUUGCACAAUGGGCGAAACCCUGAUGCAGCGACGCCGCGUGAGUGAAGAAGGAUUUCGGUAUCUAAAGCUCUAUCAGCAGGGGAGUCGCAAGACGGUACCUGACUAAGAAGCCCCUGCUAACUACGUGACAGCAGCCGCGGUAAUACGUAGGGGGCAAGCUUUAUCCGGAUUUACUGGGUGUAAAGGGAGCGUAGACGGUAUGGGAAGUCUGACGUGAAAGCCCAGGGCUUAACCCUGGGACUGCUUUGGAAACUGGUAGACUAGAGUGCUGGAGAGGUAAGUGGAAUGCCGGGUGUAGCGGUGAAAUGCGUAGAUAUUACGCGGAACACCAGUGGCGAAGGCGGCUUACUGGACAGUAACUGACGUUGAGGCUCGAAAGCGUGGGGAGCAAACAGGAUUAGAUACCCCAGUAGUC
This 441-nucleotide ribosomal RNA is filed under the name uncultured bacterium. RNAcentral describes it as "partial 16S ribosomal RNA". It matches the Rfam family "Bacterial small subunit ribosomal RNA", at positions 338 to 795 of the family's 1533-position model. The record is from RNAcentral.